This 461-nucleotide ribosomal RNA is filed under the name Staphylococcus sp. RNAcentral's name for it is "bacterial SSU rRNA". It matches the Rfam family "Bacterial small subunit ribosomal RNA", at positions 121 to 569 of the family's 1533-position model. The record is from RNAcentral. Lineage: Bacteria; Bacillati; Bacillota; Bacilli; Caryophanales; Staphylococcaceae.
AUAACCUACCUAUAAGACUGGGAUAACUUCGGGAAACCGGAGCUAAUACCGGAUAACAUAUUGAACCGCAUGGUUCAAUAUUGAAAGGCGGCUUUGCUGUCACUUAUAGAUGGAUCCGCGCCGUAUUAGCUAGUUGGUAAGGUAACGGCUUACCAAGGCAACGAUACGUAGCCGACCUGAGAGGGUGAUCGGCCACACUGGAACUGAGACACGGUCCAGACUCCUACGGGAGGCAGCAGUAGGGAAUCUUCCGCAAUGGGCGAAAGCCUGACGGAGCAACGCCCCGUGAGUGAUGAAGGUCUUCGGAUCGUAAAACUCUGUUAUCAGGGAAGAACAAAUGUGUAAGUAACUGUGCACAUCUUGACGGUACCUGAUCAGAAAGCCACGGCUAACUACGUGCCAGCACCCGCGGUAAUACGUAGGUGGCAAGCGUUAUCCGGAAUUAUUGGGCGUAAAGCGCG